AACGCACAUUGCGCCCCCUGGUAUUCCGGGGGGCACGCCUGUUCGAGCGCCAUUUCAACCCUCAAGCCAAGCUUGGUGUUGGGCGGGGUCUGCCGGGACCCCCCCGAAACUCAGCGGGCGCCACCCGUCGAACCCGGGCGCAGCGAGCUAACGCACGCGCCGAGGUUGGACGGGGGGCGCCCCAACGUCCUACCUUUCAAGGUUGGCCUCGGAUCAGGUGGGGAUACCCGCUGAACUUAA
RNAcentral lists this unclassified non-coding RNA (240 nucleotides) under uncultured fungus. RNAcentral's name for it is "sequence contains ITS2". Lineage: Eukaryota; Fungi. The record is from RNAcentral.